This 491-nucleotide ribosomal RNA is filed under the name uncultured bacterium. RNAcentral's name for it is "partial 16S ribosomal RNA". It matches the Rfam family "Bacterial small subunit ribosomal RNA", at positions 29 to 507 of the family's 1533-position model. The record is from RNAcentral.
AGUGAACGCUGGCGGUAGGCCUAACACAUGCAAGUCGAACGGCAGCACAGUAAGAGCUUGCUCUUACGGGUGGCGAGUGGCGGACGGGUGAGGAAUACAUCGGAAUCUACUUUUUCGUGGGGGAUAACGUAGGGAAACUUACGCUAAUACCGCAUACGACCUACGGGUGAAAGCAGGGGAUCUUCGGACCUUGCGCGAUUGAAUGAGCCGAUGUCGGAUUAGCUAGUUGGCGGGGUAAAGGCCCACCAAGGCGACGAUCCGUAGCUGGUCUGAGAGGAUGACAAGCAACAUUGGAACUGGGAACCGGUCCAGCUCCCUACGGAAGGCAGCAUGGGGGAAUAUUGGCCAAUGGGCGCAAGCCUGAUCCAGCCAUACGGCGUGGGUGAAGAAGGCCUCCGGGUGGUAAAGCCCUUUUGUUGGGAAAGAAAAGCAGCAGGUUAAUACCCCGCUGUUCUGCCGGUACCAAAGAAUAAGCACCGGCUAACUUCGUG